CUCUUCACCACUUUCCUCUCUCUAUUCUCUCUUUCUUACCAGUAAAUAGAAGGUGGCAUGAAAGUGUGAGUCGCCAGAGAAAUACAGAAGCUAUUUUCCUAUAAUGUAUGUUUGGAGUAAUGAAUCUUGAUGAAGGUAUCACCUCAGCCUCAAACAGUGUUAAAACUAUUUGCCAUUGUAUCUAACUUGAACAUGUCACAAUGUCAAAUUUUGUACUUGCCUUGGGAAUCAAGUUGGCCUCAAUGGCCUGGUUUAUCAACAUGAAUCCCAAGAAUUUUCUUUCUUCAAAUCCGAGCAUGCAUUUCUGCGAGUUGUACCUUGCUUUAUUGUCUCAAAUUUGAGGAUCACAUUAUCAACAUUCAACUCUAUGAUUUUGGCUUUCUGCUCUCAGAAUAUCUAGUCCAAUACGUUCUGAUACGUAACUUCUGCAUUCUUCAAAUCGAAAGACAUCACUUCAUGGCAUAAAUUUGGAUCUAACCAUAUCCUGAGUAAGCAUUUCAGAAACUGAAGUUUGUUUGUAGCAACUUUGUGACCUCUUGUUUGUAAUGCACCAAUACGUGGAUCAUCCUACAUAUCCAUGCAAUGACGUAUCUGACAAAGAUACGUUUUAUAAUAGGUUUAAAAUACAUUUAAGUGUAGUAAGCAAUUAGAAAUGAUAAGAAGAAUUGUUUCAAAAAGAGGGUUGUGAAGCUAACACUAUUGCUUA
Molecule: long non-coding RNA, 706 nt
Organism: Vigna unguiculata (cowpea)
Lineage: Eukaryota; Viridiplantae; Streptophyta; Magnoliopsida; Fabales; Fabaceae
Source: RefSeq, a predicted model, not a curated record